This is a non-coding RNA of Aegilops tauschii subsp. strangulata, 3025 nucleotides long. The record is from RefSeq and is a predicted model, not a curated record. NCBI's taxonomy places the organism in Eukaryota, Viridiplantae, Streptophyta, Magnoliopsida, Poales, Poaceae.
CCGGGUUCUGUUGGAUCCUUUGCGCUAUGUGCUCGCACCCUUUCCCCCCAUAUCCCGCCCCUCCAGUGUCGCCGGCUGCGGUUCCUCCCAACCUUCUUCUGCGCUACGUGCUCUGCCCUCUCCCCCCUGGGGUUUCUGCGCUCGGAAUCCAGAAGGGGAGGCCUUCCAUCUAGCUCGUGGUGACUCCAGUGAGACUCAGAUUUGUCUCUGCUAGAAUCUUGCAAUGACAAUUUUUGACGAUGAUGAUGAUGCGGAGCCACAACUGAAGGUCGUUGACAACUACUAUUUUGAGAAAGCCAAGGACGAGUUUGUUUGUUUCAGCACCUUGCCCCUUAAGUUUGAUGAGAAUGAUAAAGUCUCCGGGAAGGGUAUCUACUUGCGUCGAUAUUCCGCAGAUGGCGCCCCUGCAGUAUACAAGCAGGUUGUAGCUUGGACAGUGGCACUUAACCGUGAGCAGCCAAAGAUCUCAGUGCUUUCAAGUGAGGGCUAUUGGAUAUAAUUGGAUCUAUUGAAACCACGGAAAAUCUAUUGGAAGUUUGCUCGAUCAGCAGUAACGACAGUUCAAAUGCUCCACUUUGUCAAAAGGCAACCCAGAAAACCGAUGAUAAGUCUUUCUGUUCACCUUCGUGAAAUAUUCAGUAAAUUUGAAACGGAAGAGAUGGAGGAUGCUUUAGGGAAACACCAUCACAUAAUCAAGCGAUGUGCAGAGAGGGAUCCUGCUUUAAUGAGGUCAAAGAUUCUGCAAAGCUUUAUCAAGGACACUUCUGGGAAAUACUUUGAGUGCAUAUUAAGGAGUCUGAGCACCAAGGAGUCAUUCAUUGUUGUUGCUGAGCCUCUUGCAAGUGGGGGUAAAGGCAAUUGCGAUACAGUUAGUGAUGGUAACAUAAUCGGCGAUGAUGGUGAUGGCACUGAGCCAAUAUGUGCAAUAUGUGACGAAGGAGGAGAAUUACUUAGCUGUAAAGGUCGAUGCAAGAGAGCCUUCCAUCCUACAAUAGAAGCUGGCAGAAAGUCUAAAUGUGUAACACUUGGUUACACUGCUGUACAAGUAAAGGAAAUGAAUAAGUUCAUAUGCGAAAACUGUAGAUAUGAACAACACCAAUGUUUCAAAUGCGGAGAACUCGACUCGUCUCAUGAGCCUAAUGCCAAGGUCUUUCAAUGUUGUAAACUGUUUUGUGGCCACUUCUACCACCCCAAGUGUGCUGCAGAAUUACUUCAGUCUCACAGUAAUGGAGCCUGUGAGUUGGAGAACAAGAUUGCAGCUGGGAUGCCAUUUCCAUGUCCUGUACAUUGGUGCUUCAGACCUGAUUGUAAAAAAAUGGAGGAAAAGAGACUGAAAGAGCAAUGUGGCUUGCUGGCUGCAGACGUUGUCCAAGGUCAUAUCACUUAGAUUGUUUGCCAAGGGAGAUAUGCUUUAAGUAUGGUAACGGAGGUAUACGUGCUUGGUUUCUAUCGGAAAGAAACCUAUCUAAAAGACUCAUCAUUUACUGCACAGACCAUGAGAUAGACCCAGCUAUGGGAACACCUUGCAGGGAUCAUAUAAAGUUCCCUGCUCUUCUAGAAAACAAAGGUCACGGUUCAACAGAAUCCACAAAGUUUCAGCACUCUGAGGAUUAUAUAUGUUCACCUUGUCCUUCACAAAGGAAGGCAAACGCUACAAAAGUAGAGGAAAUUAGAGAAAGGCUUGAGAAGAGAAGGCUGCGGCACAACAAAGAGGUGGGUUCGAGAUUGUCUAUAGAAGGAAAUAAAAACAUCAAGAGAGAUUCAACAUAUGUUUUGUUGGGAUCAUCUCACAAGGCAUCUAGAGGAAACCAUUGUGUAGAAUUUUGAUGAUGGUCCUAAGGACUUUGAAGAUUUUGCCAAACCAGGAAUGCAAAUUGCUGAUGGAAAGUGAAGCUUAUGUCAACAUCAUUGUGUCCUGGUUGCCCUAGCACUACAAAAUAUCUACGGUUUGAUGGUUCUAAAAGUUGGGGUAUCGACAAAAUUUCUAAUUGUGCUUAUUAAUAAGUUAUGCAGAUACCUAUUAGUCUAUUAUUAAUGCUAACUUUGAUGAUGGAAUGUGCUGGAAACAUACUCCUUAUGCUCAAUGCUCCUCAAAAAGUGCAUACAAAACAUCUGUGCAGGAGCCAUGGCUGGAAUCCGCGCAUCUACUUGUGGUCCUUCGUAUCAAGAAAAUCAUACUCCUAAUUAAUGCAUCUUGGAAGGAUCAAACCAUCCCUCAAGCCCUUCUGCAUGGAGACUUAUAAGGUGGGGUUUAGCAACUGGUAAGAGAGCAUCUAGACAUAUUUUGAAAGGAUGCAUCCUAUCCGAUGCCUCCGUGAAUCAGAUGCUCAUAUGUUCCAUUGCCCCUUUGCUAGACCAGUCUGGUUCUCUUAUUUAGGCUUUAGAUCAGAUGUUUUUGCUCCUGGCGCCUCUAUAUUUCCUCCAUGCUUAAUUCUAAUCAUCCUGGUAUCUCUGUUGCUAAAUCAUUUCCAUGCUCUCAUUUAUGGAAAUCCAGGAGUGAUUUGCUUCUUAAUUAAACAAGCUGGUCUAUUGUGCAGGUUCUUCAUGCUUCCUCGGCUAUCUCUCCUGUAGCUCUGAUAUUGCUGAUUCUUGUCGGUCCUGUUGGCUUUAAUCUUGAUUCCAUGUAUCUGCAUUUUAGUUUGAUUUCGUACAUGCAUGUAGUCGAGAUGGUCUAGGGCAUUGUAUCCAGGUUGAACUUCACUUGAGCAUACAGGAGGUGGGAUGCGGAGCUAGCCGUGCAAUGCGGCCGGAGGUGGAGCGUGACAACCUGUGUGAUCCAGUCCUAGAGCCAACGUCCUGCAGUGUUCCCAGACGAGUGAAUCGUUGAUGCGUCAGCCAGUUAGUUCGUGGAGCUUGUUAUCCAGUCAUGUGCAUGUGCAUGUUGGUCAUUGUGUCAUUGUGUUGGAGUAUGGCGUGCGUUUAGGAGGUAGUGGUCUGAGAUGGGCUGCUAUAUAUUCUGUAAUCAUAUUUAUUUGAAGAGGCAGAAAGAAAAGGUCGAGCUGUGAGGGGCAGCAUGACGCCAAAA